GAGUGGCGGACGGGUGAGUAACGCGUGGGAAUCUACCUUGUAGUGGGGGACAGCCCGGAGAAAUCCGGAUUAAUACCGCAUACUCUNUACGGGGCAAAGCGGGGGAUCUUCGGACCUCACGCUAUUGGAUGAGCCCGCGUUGGAUUAGCUUGUUGGUGGGGUAAAGGCUCACCAAGGCGACGAUCCAUAGCUGGUUUGAGAGGAUGAUCAGCCACACUGGGACUGAGACACGGCCCAGACUCCUACGGGAGGCAGCAGUGGGGAAUAUUGGACAAUGGGGGCAAGCCUGAUCCAGCAAUACCGCGUGUGUGAAGAAGGCCUUAGGGUUGUAAAGCACUUU
This 340-nucleotide ribosomal RNA is filed under the name uncultured bacterium. Its description in RNAcentral is "bacterial SSU rRNA". It matches the Rfam family "Bacterial small subunit ribosomal RNA", at positions 93 to 436 of the family's 1533-position model. The record is from RNAcentral.